RNAcentral lists this long non-coding RNA (988 nucleotides) under Brachypodium distachyon (stiff brome). RNAcentral describes it as "long non-coding RNA (BDIS_LNC005852)". The record is from RNAcentral. Lineage: Eukaryota; Viridiplantae; Streptophyta; Magnoliopsida; Poales; Poaceae.
AACACCCCACAUUAAGGAAUGGUACAUUGCUAUCCAAAUAAGAGAGCUCAGAUAUAAUAACGCGCCUGAUGUGCUUCCGUACCUUUCUUGCCAUCAGUACAAAGUAAACCAAUCAUUGUUUGGUAUCAGCCAGUUAAUCCAAUGGUGAUCCUUUUUCAUGGCACACAGGUUGAAUAAUAACCACAUGAAUGCUUUAGACGCAUAUAGUUGUAUUAAGAUCUCAAAGAUAGCGAUAUCACAUGGUUACGACGUCAUUGGUAUGCCAUCAGUUUCAGAUUUUAGUCCAUUGAAUUAUUAAUCCUUCACAUCAUGCCAUGUUUGCAGGGAAGAAACACUUAACAACUUCGGAGAAAAAUUGGACCGUAAAACCGUGGUUCAUAACUGGUAUUUCCCUCACUCUGUUAUAUUGGGUUAGUUGCUGUCCCAAUUUACACUGGAGCUGUAGCUGUAAUAUCGGCUGCUGAGAUGAUUCCCAAAUUGUACAAAUCUGUUGAUCCGAAGAAUGUUUCUUGCACAGCAUUAUUGCCGGAAGAUUAUUUGGUCAAAACUGAAAAUGAACACUCUGCUGACUAGAGCAGAAGCAGGAUGAUUAUUUAUCACAGUAAUUAUUGAGUGAACUGUCGUGAAUGUCUAGAAAUUCAUAAAUAUUCAGUCCCAGUCGCAGAUGCUGGUGUGAAAAGCCGAAAACUGCUGUCUGCAAGUUAGCACUGAAUUCACUUAUUAAUACCAGUUUGUUCUGAUUCAGUUCCUUGUUCCAAUUAACAGAGCAGAUGGAAAUUUCCUGUUGAGAAAAUCUCUGGGUUGGUUUAAAGACUUCUGGAGUAACAUUUUAACAAAGUGGUUUGACUGUGAAACCUGAUUGGUCAAUUUUCUCCAUGCUUGAUCAUAAUGGAGGAUACCGAUAUGGGGUUAGGGAUGAUAUCACAAGUUGGAACAUUAGUCAAGAGUUCCUUUCAGCAUCCAAGACAUCUAUGUCCUACAGGAAGUG